Molecule: ribosomal RNA, 253 nt
Filed under: uncultured bacterium
Lineage: Bacteria
Description: partial 16S ribosomal RNA
Rfam family: Bacterial small subunit ribosomal RNA
Source: RNAcentral
UACGUAGGGGGCGAGCGUUGUCCGGAUUUAUUGGGCGUAAAGAGCGUGUAGGCGGUUCGGUAAGUCUGUCGUGAAAUCCUGAGGCUCAACCUCGGGCGUGCGAUGGAUGCUGCCGGGCUAGAGGAUGGUAGAGGCGAGUGGAAUUCCCGGUGUAGCGGUGAAAUGCGCAGAUAUCGGGAGGAACACCAGUAGCGAAGGCGGCUCGCUGGGCCAUUCCUGACGCUGAGACGCGAAAGCUAGGGGAGCGAACAGG